GGAUGUGAGAGUGAACUGGCAGUGACUUGGAACCCUAUUAUUUGCCAGGGUUUAUUCAGCUGACUUGACUAGCAAAAUGUGUGUCCUAUUCUUCCUUUCCCUUUGCGUGUGAAACUGAACACUCAGUCUUCUUAGCUGAGGAGGAUUUUUUUUGGUAACGGUUAUAUAUGGGUAAUUAAACUCCCCUAAUUGAAUCUCUCAAAAGAUCUUUACAAAUAAAUGUCUAAAUUUCUCACUUGGAAGUUAAAAUUGGAGAGUAAGAAGACCAAAUAAUAUAAUGGAAUAUGUCAUCAACAACAUU
RNAcentral lists this small nuclear RNA (301 nucleotides) under Dasypus novemcinctus (nine-banded armadillo). RNAcentral describes it as "7SK RNA (ENSDNOG00000030090.1)". It matches the Rfam family "7SK RNA". Rfam says of the family: 7SK was discovered as an abundant small nuclear RNA in the mid-70s but a possible function has only recently been suggested. Two independent studies have found that 7SK RNA binds the CDK9/cyclin T complex (known as elongation factor P-TEFb). The record is from RNAcentral. Lineage: Eukaryota; Metazoa; Chordata; Mammalia; Cingulata; Dasypodidae.